UUGGAACGCUGGCGGCAUGGCUAAAACAUGCAAGUCGAACGCGAAAGGGAGCAAUCCCAAGUAGAGUGGCGAAAGGGUGAGUAAUACGUUCCUACGUGCCUCGAGGUCAGGGAUAGCCAGGGGAAACUCUGGGUAAUACCUGAUGUGGUCGCAAGAUCAAGGGCUUGCCGCCUCGAGAGCGGGGAACGUCCUAUCAGCUAGUUGGUGAGGUAACGGCUCACCAAGGCAUAGACGGGUAGCAGGUGUGAGAGCACGCCUGCACAUCGGAACUGAGACACUGUCCGGACUCCUACGGGAGGCUGCAGUAACGAAUCUUCCGCAAUGCGCGAAAGCGUGACGAGCAAUGCCGCGUGCAGGAUGAAGCCCUCGGGU
RNAcentral lists this ribosomal RNA (372 nucleotides) under uncultured bacterium. RNAcentral describes it as "bacterial SSU rRNA". It matches the Rfam family "Bacterial small subunit ribosomal RNA", at positions 31 to 424 of the family's 1533-position model. The record is from RNAcentral.